This 251-nucleotide ribosomal RNA is filed under the name uncultured Bartonella sp. Its description in RNAcentral is "partial 16S ribosomal RNA". It matches the Rfam family "Bacterial small subunit ribosomal RNA", at positions 524 to 774 of the family's 1533-position model. The record is from RNAcentral. Lineage: Bacteria; Pseudomonadati; Pseudomonadota; Alphaproteobacteria; Hyphomicrobiales; Bartonellaceae.
UACGAAGGGGGUUAGCGUUGUUCGGAUUUACUGGGCGUAAAGCGCACGUAGGCGGAUAUUUAAGUCAGAGGUGAAAUCCCAGGGCUCAACCCUUGAACUGCCUUUGAUACUGGUUAUCUUGAGUAUGGAAGAGGUGAGUGGAAUUCCGAGUGUAGAGGUAAAAUUCGUAGAUAUUCGGAGGAACACCAGUGGCGAAGGCGGCUCACUGGUCCAUUACUGACGCUGAGGUGCGAAAGCGUGGGGAGCAAACA